RNAcentral lists this ribosomal RNA (116 nucleotides) under Clostridium sp. 28_17. Lineage: Bacteria; Bacillati; Bacillota; Clostridia; Eubacteriales; Clostridiaceae. The record is from RNAcentral.
UCUGGUAAUGAUGACACUUAGGGUAAUACCUGUUCCCAUUCCGAACACAGAAGUCAAGCCUAAAUGUGCCGAAAAUACUUGCGGGUUACCCUGCUGAAGAUAGGUUGUUGCCAGAU